RNAcentral lists this ribosomal RNA (527 nucleotides) under uncultured bacterium. RNAcentral describes it as "bacterial SSU rRNA". It matches the Rfam family "Archaeal small subunit ribosomal RNA", at positions 726 to 1257 of the family's 1478-position model. The record is from RNAcentral.
AGAAAAUAGAUACCCAGGUAGUCCCAGCUGUAAACGAUGCAGACUAGGUGUUUGGACGGCCACGUGCCGUUCUAGUGCCGCAGGGAAGCUGUUAAGUCUGCCGCCUGGGGAGUACGAUCGCAAGAUUGAAACUUAAAGGAAUUGGCGGGGGAGCACCACAAGGGGUGAAGCUUGCGGUUUAAUUGGAGUCAACGCCGGAAAUCUCACCGGGAGCGACAGCAGUAUGAAAGCCAGAUUAAAGGUCUUGCUAGACGAGCUGAGAGGAGGUGCAUGGCCGUCGCCAGUUCGUGCCGUGAGGUGUCCUGUUAAGUCAGGCAACGAUCGAGACCCGCGUCCUCUGUUGCAACCAGCUUUGAGCUGGGCACACUGAGGAGACCGCCACUGAUAAAGUGGAGGAAGGAGCGGGCCACGGCAGGUCAGUAUGCCCCGAAUCUCCCGGGCCACACGCGAGCUGCAAUGGCAGGUACAAUGGGUUCCGACCUCGGAAGGGGUAGGCAAUCUCGAAAGCCUGCCGUAGUUGGAAUUGA